This 713-nucleotide ribosomal RNA is filed under the name uncultured Eubacteriales bacterium. RNAcentral describes it as "bacterial SSU rRNA". It matches the Rfam family "Bacterial small subunit ribosomal RNA", at positions 54 to 780 of the family's 1533-position model. Lineage: Bacteria; Bacillati; Bacillota; Clostridia; Eubacteriales. The record is from RNAcentral.
CGAUGAAACUUUAACAGAACCCUUCGGGGCGAAGAUAAAGUGGAUUAGCGGCGGACGGGUGAGUAACACGUGAGUAACCUGCCUUAGACAUUGGGAUAGCCUCGGGAAACCGGGAUUAAUACCAAAUAAAAUCAUAAUGACACAUGUCAUAACGAUCAAAACUCCGGUGGUCUAAGAUGGACUCGCGUCCCAUUAGCUAGUUGGUAGAGUAAAAGCCUACCAAGGCGACGAUGGGUAGCCGGCCUGAGAGGGUGAACGGCCACAUUGGAACUGAGAAACGGUCCAAACUUCUACGGGAGGCAGCAGUGGGGAAUAUUGCACAAUGGAGGGAACUCUGAUGCAGCGACGCCGCGUGAACGAAGAAGGCUUUCGAGUCGUAAAGUUCUUUUAUAUGGGAAGAUAAUGACGGUACCAUAAGAAAAAGCCCCGGCUAACUACGUGCCAGCAGCCGCGGUAAUACGUAGGGGGCUAGCGUUGUCCGGAAUCACUGGGCGUAAAGGGUUCGCAGGCGGAAAUGCAAGUCAGAUGUAAAAGGCAGUAGCUUAACUACUGUAAGCAUUUGAAACUGCAUAUCUUGAGAAGAGUAGAGGUAAGUGGAAUUUUUAGUGUAGCGGUGAAAUGCGUAGAUAUUAAAAAGAAUACCGGUGGCGAAGGCGACUUACUGGGCUCAUUCUGACGCUGAGGAACGAAAGCGUGGGUAGCAAACAGGAUUA